UUGCACAAUGGGCGCAAGCCUGAUGCAGCCAUGCCGCGUGUGUGAAGAAGGCCUUCGGGUUGUAAAGCACUUUCAGUCAGGAGGAAAGGUUAAUAGUUAAUACCUGUUAGUUGUGACGUUACUGAKAGAAGAAGCACCGGCUAACUCCGUGCCAGCAGCCGCGGUAAUACGGAGGGUGCGAGCGUUAAUCGGAAUUACUGGGCGUAAAGCGUACGCAGGCGGUUUGUUAAGCCAGAUGUGAAAGCCCCGGGCUCAACCUGGGAACUGCAUUUCGAACUGGCAAACUAGAGUGUGAUAGAGGGUGGUAGAAUUUCAGGUGUAGCGGUGAAAUGCGUAGAGAUCUGAAGGAAUACCGAUGGCGAAGGCAGCCACCUGGGUCAACACUGACGCUCAUGUACGCAAAGCGUGGGGAGCAAACRGGAUUAGAUACCCCGGUAGUCCACGCCGUAAACGAUGUCUACUAGAAGCUCGGAGCCUCGGUUCUGUUUUUCACAGCUAACGCAUUAAGUAGACCGCCUGGGGAGUACGGCCGC
This 533-nucleotide ribosomal RNA is filed under the name uncultured bacterium. Its description in RNAcentral is "bacterial SSU rRNA". It matches the Rfam family "Bacterial small subunit ribosomal RNA", at positions 364 to 889 of the family's 1533-position model. The record is from RNAcentral.